Molecule: ribosomal RNA, 484 nt
Filed under: uncultured bacterium
Lineage: Bacteria
Description: partial 16S ribosomal RNA
Rfam family: Bacterial small subunit ribosomal RNA
Source: RNAcentral
AUUGAACGCUGGCGGCAGGCCUAACACAUGCAAGUCGAGCGGAUGAAGGGAGCUUGCUCCUGGAUUCAGCGGCGGACGGGUGAGUAAUGCCUAGGAAUCUGCCUGGUAGUGGGGGAUAACGUCCGUAAACGGGCGCUAAUACCGCAUACGUCCUGAGGGAGAAAGUGGGGGAUCUUCGGACCUCACGCUAUCAGAUGAGCCUAGGUCGGAUUAGCUAGUUGGUGGGGUAAAGGCCUACCAAGGCGACGAUCCGUAACUGGUCUGAGAGGAUGAUCAGUCACACUGGAACUGAGACACGGUCCAGACUCCUACGGGAGGCAGCAGUGGGGAAUAUUGGACAAUGGGCGAAAGCCUGAUCCAGCCAUGCCGCGUGUGUGAAGAAGGUCUUCGGAUUGUAAAGCACUUUAAGUUGGGAGGAAGGGCAGUAAGUUAAUACCUUGCUGUUUUGACGGUACCAACAGAAUAAGCACCGGCUAACUUCGUG